This 253-nucleotide ribosomal RNA is filed under the name uncultured bacterium. RNAcentral's name for it is "partial 16S ribosomal RNA". It matches the Rfam family "Bacterial small subunit ribosomal RNA", at positions 524 to 776 of the family's 1533-position model. The record is from RNAcentral.
UACAGAGGUCCCGAGCGUUGUUCGGAUUCACUGGGCGUAAAGGGCACGUAGGCGGCUCGGCAAAUCGGUCGUGGAAUCUCGACGCUUACCGUCGAAACGGCGGCCGAAAAUACCGGGCUCGAGGGCGUGAGGGGUCACUGGAACUCCUGGUGAAGCGGUGAAAUGCGUAGAUAUCAGGAGGAACGCCGGAGGCGAAAGCGAGUGACUGGCGCGUUCCUGACGCUGAGGUGCGAAAGCUAGGGGAGCAAACAGG